RNAcentral lists this long non-coding RNA (1052 nucleotides) under Macaca mulatta (Rhesus monkey). RNAcentral's name for it is "lncRNA (ENSMMUG00000054845.1)". The record is from RNAcentral. Lineage: Eukaryota; Metazoa; Chordata; Mammalia; Primates; Cercopithecidae.
GAGUACUCCAGUCACACCGCAAGCCCUCCGAGGACUGAUGUCCACAGGGAUCCCAGUUGACUCCAAAGGCCAACGUCUUUAUAGAGUCUACUCAGCAUUUAACCCAGGGGCUCCCUGCCCCCCAGGAUACUUCUGCCGUGAGUGUGUCCUUGGGCUCCGCGCUCAGCCCAACUCGCCCUCCUGUCCCAGGACUGCAGACAGAUCUGAUUCCUCUGGCUUGCACCUGUGCCCCUGAGCAGGUGGGAGGAAGCCAGAGGGAAGAGAGGUGCCCCGGUAGAGUCAGGCCUGAGGCAAGAAGGCUUGCAGGGGGGUGUGGUUAAAGUACACUUUGGGCAUUUGCUGUGGCUUGGGUUGUUUGGUGGGGACAGCUAAGAGUCAAUGACAAUGACCUGGUUGCAUCUGGAGCCUUGUCAGCUGUCAGUGUUCUGAGCCCUGGUGAUGUUUCAUCAGCUGCAGGGGAAGGGCCUGUGCCAGGCUGGCAGAGGGGCUGGGCAGCAGAGGGUCCUCUAGAUCUGUGAUCUCAUGGGCUGUCCAGUGCUCUGAGGCUGAGCCUGCUCCUGCUGCCCAUGAGGAGUCUCUGCUCCCUGUACCUGUGGGCUCUCUUUAGCCAGGUGACGCUCCCUCCCUGUGCCCCCAGCUGCAGGAUCACACAAGCCCACGGCCUGUCCCGCCGGCACCUUCUCCAGCCUCCCUGAGCAAACCAUGCUCUCUGCAUGCCAGUCCUGCCCACCGGGCUUCUACUGCAAGGAGGCUGGUCUCCAGGCCCCCAGUGGGCAGUGCCCGGCAGGAGACUGUGCUGCAGGGCACUGGUGCAAGGGAGGAGCCGCCAUCAAGGACCCCACCGACAGGGCACGAGGGCUCCUCUGCCCGCCUGGACACUACUGCCUCAAGGGUACCUCAUUCCCGGAGGGCCCCUUGCGUCUCUCCUAGCCUUCUGCUGGCUUGGGGCUCUGAGCCCUGCUUCCCACACAGGCACAAUGGGCACCAAACGCUUACUCUGGACACCUCCCCACUGCUCAGCAGCCCCACCCUCCCAUCCUCAAAACCUCCCC